UACGGAGGAUGCAAGCGUUAUCCGGAAUGAUUGGGCGUAAAGCGUCCGCAGGUGGCAAUUCAAGUCGAUUGUCAAAUGUCGUGGCUCAACCACGAACAGGCAGUGGAAACUGAACAGCUAGAGUGUGGUAGGGGUAGAGGGAAUUCCCGGUGUAGCGGUGAAAUGCGUAGAGAUCGGGAAGAACACCAGUGGCGAAAGCGCUCUACUAAGCCAUAACUGACACUCAGGGACGAAAGCUAGGGGAGCGAAUGGG
RNAcentral lists this ribosomal RNA (253 nucleotides) under uncultured bacterium. RNAcentral describes it as "partial 16S ribosomal RNA". It matches the Rfam family "Bacterial small subunit ribosomal RNA", at positions 524 to 776 of the family's 1533-position model. The record is from RNAcentral.